CGGCGAGUGAAGCGGCAACAGCUCAAAUUUGAAAGCUGGCCCUUUUAGGGUCCGCAUUGUAAUUUGUAGAGGAUGAUUCGGCGAGGGCUCCUGCCUAAGUCCCCUGGAACGGGGCGUCAUAGAGGGUGAGAAUCCCGUAUGCGGUAGGUUGCCUUAGCCAUGUGAAUCUCCUUCGACGAGUCGAGUUGUUUGGGAAUGCAGCUCUAAAUGGGAGGUAAAUUUCUUCUAAAGCUAAAUACCGGCCAGAGACCGAUAGCGCACAAGUAGAGUGAUCGAAAGAUGAAAAGCACUUUGGAAAGAGAGUUAAAAAGUACGUGAAAUUGUUGAAAGGGAAGCGCUUGCAACCAGACUUGUCCGCAGUUGCUCAGCCGGUCUCCUGACCGGCGUACUCUUCUGCGGCCAGGCCAGCAUCAGUUCGGGCGGUCGGAUAAAGGCCUCGGGAAUGUGGCUCCUCUCGGGGAGUGUUAUAGCCCGGGGUGCAAUGCGGCCAGCCUGGACUGAGGAACUCGCUUCGGCAAGGAUGCUGGCGUAAUGGUUGUAAGCGGCCCGUCUUGAAACACGGACCAAGGAGUCUAACAUCUAUGCGAGUGUUCGGGUGUCAAACCCGUACGCGUAAUGAAAGUGAACGGAGGUGGGAACCCGCAAGGGUGCACCAUCGGCCGAUCCUGAUGUCUUCGGAUGGAUUUGAGCAAGAGCAUAGCUGUUGGGACCCGAAAGAUGGUGAACUAUGCCUGAAUAGGGUGAAGCCAGAGGAAACUCUGGUGGAGGCUCGCAGCGGUUCUGACGUGCAAAUCGAUCGUCAAAUUUGGGUAUAGGGGCGAAAGACUAAUCGAACCAUC
This 839-nucleotide ribosomal RNA is filed under the name Lasiodiplodia theobromae. Its description in RNAcentral is "eukaryotic LSU rRNA". It matches the Rfam family "Eukaryotic large subunit ribosomal RNA", at positions 87 to 944 of the family's 3401-position model. Lineage: Eukaryota; Fungi; Ascomycota; Dothideomycetes; Botryosphaeriales; Botryosphaeriaceae. The record is from RNAcentral.